GUUGACUGUCAGAAGUUAUAUCGAUUUAGAUUCGCAAAAUCUACAUCAGAAAAAUUGGCUGGCUUGUCUAUUAUAAAUGGAUUUCGAACCCAGCCAUUAUUGUUUUCAUUCAAGAAUGGAAACUACUGAUCAAUAUAUGUGAUUAAAUGGCGAAGAUGAUCUACAAUUUUGUUGCGAAUUUUAUCUUCAAGUUCAAUUUCUGACUCUUCAAGAAAAUCCUUAAGUGUUGGCAAAGAGUUCAAAUUAUUUUGCCCAACAUAU
Non-coding RNA from Pelobates cultripes (western spadefoot toad), 261 nucleotides. The record is from the annotation of a GenBank genome assembly. Lineage: Eukaryota; Metazoa; Chordata; Amphibia; Anura; Pelobatidae.